UACAGAGGUCCCAAGCGUUGUUCGGAUUCACUGGGCGUAAAGGGUGCGUAGGCGGUCGGAAAAGUCUGAUGUGAAAUCCCGCAGCUUAACUGCGGAAUGGCAUUGGAAACUGUUCGGCUAGAGGAUGCGAGGGGGGACUGGAAUUCUCGGUGUAGCAGUGAAAUGCGUAGAUAUCGAGAGGAACACCAGUGGCGAAGGCGAGUCCCUGGAGCAUUCCUGACGCUGAGGCACGAAAGCUAGGGGAGCAAACAGG
Molecule: ribosomal RNA, 253 nt
Filed under: uncultured bacterium
Lineage: Bacteria
Description: partial 16S ribosomal RNA
Rfam family: Bacterial small subunit ribosomal RNA
Source: RNAcentral